GCUAGCAUUUAUACAGUUUUGUUUACCUUAGUCAUGAGAUAUGCAAUACAAUACAGAUUAUACGAUUUAUUACUUCCUUAUAUAUUACAUGUUAUUCUGACAAUGGGAAGAUAAGCUUUUUUGCAUACGUCUGGAAAAUAAUAUCCUGAAAUCGGAAUGGGCAAGACAUCCUGAAAUUUUAGCAUUGUCUUACAUCCUAUAGAAGAAAUACCUUAGUCUGUCACAGUCAGCAUAUUAUGUCGUUUAAGUAUUCAAUAUCCCUCCAGUCAGCAAUAAUCAUGUUAUAAACCUUAUAAAAGCAUAAAAUACAUAUAAACAAGGAAACUAUUUCAUAUUUCUUACAUCCCCCUCUUUGAGCAAUUAAUUUGCUCAUCUUAUCAAUAAAAUUUUACCAGGACAGAGAAACUUCCACAUGGUAUUUUCAGGGGUGCUAGUCACUCCCUGCGGGACUUUCAUUAAUUUCUUCACCUCGAUUCCCAUGUGGUAAUUCCUAAGGCCCAGUUUUAAAGAUGGGUUGAUAGCCUCCAGUGGCAGAGAGGAGAGUUUCCAAUUGUUUCUGUUCUGCAUUAUAGAUUAAUUUCUGUAUUCUCUUUCUCAGUGUACAAGUAAGAUGGCAGUUAUACAAAAUCAUACACAAUAAAAUCAGGACUAUAAUAACAAGAGGAUAGAAGAAUGAUUUCAUUAUCUGGGAUCCCGUAGGAGACCAACCAGUAAAAGCAUCGUACCAAUGAUGGACUAAAUCAUUCUGAAUCUGUGAACUCACCUUAAGGAGUUCUCCUUUUAGGAUAUGUGUGGCUACCUGUGUGUGUACUAGAGCAUCAUUAUGUGUAACAAGAUGUUUAAACAUAUUUUGUUUUCCUUUCAUUAAGGAGACAAUAGUCUCAAGAGGUAAAUGGUAAUCUUCAAAAGGCAGCGAGCCUAAUAGGGCAUUAACAUGUUUGUCUAAAGUAAUUGUGUCGCUGAAAUAAUAUUGGGUGCCAUUAAGAUCUAACCAGGUAAUAUUAGUCAAACAUCCUGAAAAAGGGAGAGGUAGAUUAAUACUUGUAGUGCUAGUAAUUAUCUUUGUAGGGAGAUUAGUUGCUAAACAGAUAUGUCGUGUGCUUAUUUCUGUCAUGGUAAAAUAAUUUUCAGGAUAUAUGUGCCAUAUACAUUUGUUAAGUUCAUUUUGGAGUAAACAUGGUUCGUAAAUAGAGGACGAGUGUCGACAUGCAUAUCCUUUGUCAGUGAGAACACAGUGUUUAAGGGAAUAGGUCAUAUUAUCUUUGGGAAAAAUAUAGUCCCCUGUGUAUGUGGGUGCCCACCAGGUUAAAUUCUUGGCAAAGAGAUCAUAAACUGGUACUGGUAAUGUGUUAAAUUGACAAGCUAAUUUAACAUCCUUUGAUGUUGUAUGAUAUAAUGUAAAAUAACAUGAGCAUGAAAAAUGUGAUACAGUACCAGUUAACCAUUCAUUGCAUUUAGUGGAUUGGGGUUUCAGAAGUAACCAUUCAUUAUCUGUGAGGUUAAGCAUUCCUCUAAUCUUCUCUAAUUUAGGAAUCAUUAGUAUGUCUUCUAAUGCCGAUCUUUGGUGUUGCAUCCAUAAAUACCUGAUGGCACAAGUACUCCAAUUACUUAGACCUGUUGUGAAUUUCAUAGUUGCAACAGUUAAAUUAUCUAAAUAAUUAUACAUUGAUUUAUCUAAAUCCAAUCCUGUAACCUGUGAUUUAACAACAGUUGGAGCCCAGUUUGCAGUAGCAUGAAAACCAGUCCCUAUAUGCAUACUGGCUGUGUUUAACUUAUUCUUGAGGGUCUCCAUGUCUAUACUAUUUAGUAUACCCAUAGUGGUUCCAGCACCUCCUAACAGUGUGUCAUACCAUUCCCUUUUCUGCCUUUUGUUUGCUGUGUUACAUAAUGUUACAACAGGAGUAGUGAUUUUUAAUGACACAUGUACAGCUUGUAAGAAGACAGUUGUAUUAACACAUGUGGAUGGAAUAGGUGUGUGUGUGUCGUUGUUGACUUUUGGUUCUAUGUUAGAGGAUAAAGGACAGUAAUAAGGUGUAAAAAUAUAAGGUAGUGUAUAGUUCUCAAUUGCAGUGUCAUUCAUAAUGACUAACAUUUGUCCCUUUUUUCAAUUAAUGGUACCAGUUGUAUAAUCAUUAUUAAAAGUAAUAAGGCCUGUUUGUUUACAUUGAUAUGCAACCUUACUAAUUUUCUUAUAAUAUAUAUCCCAAACCUGUUUAGGUGGUUUUCUCUUACCAUCAGAACUUAUAUUAAAUAAGGUGGCACAGAUACCAGUGUAAUUAGCAACCUUAACUGUGCACAUUUCUGUGUUAUAAGAUCUAACAAUUUUCCGUGAACCUUCAAACAAACAUAAUGCAUCGGUUUCAUUAGCUGUGGACACAUUCCAUAUGAGUAAUUGAUACUUAUAAGGGUUAUUAUUUGUCCAAUUCAUCCAAAUGCGUUCAGUGAAUGAAUGAUUGCAUAUUACAUGCUGAUAAAAGGGUGGUGGAGAAAAGUUCUUGAGGGAGCGUGUGUGACGAAUGCUAGAUGAGGGGUUAAGGCCUAAUUGGGCUGGGGGUAUUGAAGAAUUGUUCAUCAUGUCAGAGUCUUCUUUCCAGAAACAAACAGGUUUCAAACUUGCCAUUGCCUCGUAUUCAUAAUGGCAUUCAAGGAACAAUAUCAAAGGGAGUAUAACUACUCCAGAAAACAUAGCACACAACAUAAUCUUGGUCUCAGAUUCGUAUGAUCCUCUCAAUCUACGAUAUGGUGUGAAAACCAUGAUGCUUCGCUAAGGGGGACUUCUUCUGUUUCCGAGCGAGGAGUGGUGUUGUCUUCCUUGGCUCCCCUCUUUGGACACAGCUUCACUCGGGAUGCGUGAAUCCAGAUGUCGUGGGAAUCUGUGAGGACAGCGGUUCUGGUUACAGCAAUCACAGUAGCAGGUGGUCCAAAAGGGUAUCCUCCUUUCUUGGUCCUGUUCAGCUGACGGAUAUACACCUUGUCACCGGGCUGGUAUGGAUGAGUAGGUUCCUGUGAAGGUAAGGGAAACUGCGAAGAAACAUUGCCAUAUAUACCAUUCAGUUUUAUCAACAAUUCCUGUACAUAUUGUUCUUGUAUUAGCUGUAAAUCCCCAGACAUUAUAACAAGCGGUUCCCUGGCCCAGGGUGUGGGAAAAGGUCGUCCCAUCAGAAUCUCAAAUGGAGAUAAUUUAGUCACCUUGUGGGGAGUCAUUCUUAUCUCAGCUAAAAUAGCUGGAAGAUAUUUUGUCCAAUUUACCCAUGUUCCUGCAGUAGCUUUCAUAAGCUUCUCCUUAAUGGUCCUAUUCAUCCUUUCAACUACCCCUGAACUCUGUGGAUGAUAGGGUAUAUGAAACUUCCAGGUAACUUGCAAGAAUUUAGCAAGUUCCUGGGUAACCUUACUAGCAAAAGCCGGGCCAUUAUCAGAGUUAAUCUGCAGAGGGCAGCCAUACCUGGGAAUAAUUUCAGUAGCAAGAAUCUUCACUACAGUCCUAGCAUCUUCCCUGGAUGUCACAAAGGCUUCGGGCCAUCUACUAAACUGAUCAACUAUGACCAGUAAGUAUUGCUGUUUCUUACCAAUUUUGGGUACAUGAGUAAAAUCAAUCUGUAAGUGUGUAAAAGGAGCAGCUGUUCAUGCUGUGAUUUGUGUGGAAUAUUUGGAUGUGUUCUCAUACAUGGUUCACAUGAUCUUACAAAAGACUGUACAUGCUGCCUGAGAUUCCUAAUAUAAAAUGAAUUCAUGAGGAAUUGGAUGGUACUUGCUAUGCUUUUAUGGCCAGGACCAUGUGCCUGACUGAUGAAAAUAAAACAACUUGCUUCAGGUAUGCCAAUCUUCCCCUCUUUAGAGAAAAGAUCAUUCUGAUCUUUUUCUAAACCUUGUUUAAUCCAAAAAUCCAAGUCAGAUUGCGUUGCAAAGGCUUGAAGCUGCAAAAGCAAACUGUCAGUAGGGCAUGUGGGUGGUUUAAGCAUAGCAGGAAACAUUUUAAAGUAAACAAUCUUGGCUGCAGCUUCUUUUGCUACUUUGUCAGCCAAGGCAUUUCCUCUUGAAAUGUCAUCACUACCAAGAGUGUGUGCCUUGCAGUGGAUAAUAGCUACUUCAGAUGGUAGUAGGAUAGCAUCUAGGAGUGAUUGGAUGAGAUUUGUGUGUGAAAUGGCUUUUCCAUCGGCUCCUACAAAACCUCUUUGUUUCCAGAUCACACCAAAAUCAUGCACUACCCCAUGAGCAUAUCGUGAGUCUGUGUAAAUGUUCACUCGCUGUCCUGAGAAAAGCUGACAGGCACGUGUGAGAGCAAUGAGUUCUGCAGCUUGUGCAGACGGCUGGAAAAUAGUGUCAGCUUCAAUGAUUUUAUCAGGUAGCUGUACCACAGCAUAGCCUGUGAGGUACGUACCGUCAUUUGGUCUGGAGCAAGAGCCAUCCACAAAGACAGUGGUCACAUCCGGGACACUGAGUGCUGUGGAGGAGAGGUCUGCUCUGGGAGAUGUGGCAAUAUGUAUUUGUUCAAUGCAAUUAUGAGGCUCAGAUGGUAUAGACACAGAGUCAGAUGCAGAAGUAAGAAUAGCAUGCAAAACAGACAUAGGACCAGAAUUAACAGGACUAUACACAAUAGACAGAUUCUGGGUGUUAAGAAGAAUAAUCUCAUAACCACUUAAACGCUGGGCUGUCAUGUGUUGUGUGGUGAUAUUUUUUAUCAGCUGAGUGACCUGGUGACUGGUAUGGAGUACUGUAGGAUGCCCUAGUGUGAUAGUAGUAGCAGUCUCAACAGCCAUUGCACAUGCUGCCAAUGCUCUGAGACACGCCGGCAUACCCUGUACCGGAGCUGGAAAUAUUUUGGAAAAGAAUGCUAUGGGACGCAUACCGCCUCCGUGCUCUUGUGCACAGACCGCGGCCAUGGUUUUACAGUUGUCCCGAGCAUACAAAUGAAAUGGUUUACAAUACACAGGUAGUCCUAAAGCCGGGGCUUGCACAAUAGCAACUUUGAGGGUUAUAUACGCAGCUAACAUGUCUGGUGACCAGCAGACAUUUUCAGGGCUGUCAGAACGUACAGCCUCCCUUAGGAUUGAGUCAUAAUGAGAGCAUUCAGGGAUCCAUUGGCGGCAGUAAUUAAUCAUGCCGAGGAAGGUGAGCAACUCCUUCCGAGUAGUGGGUUUAGGAAUCCUCUGAAUGACCUCAAUACGUUUUGGACUCAAUUGUCUGGUGCCUGAAGCCAGAACAAAACCUAAGUAAUCAACCUUUGAUUUACACAAUUGCAUUUUGUGUUUUGCAACCUUGUGACCCACAGUUGCUAAGUGUCUGAGCAAACUGACAGUAUCCACAGUGCUUGCCUCAUAGCUAGGGCUACAUAACAACAAAUCAUCAACAUAUUGCAAAAGGACGGAACCAUGACCGGGGGUCCAUGUUUUUAGAGUAUGUUGGAGUACCAGCGAAUAAACAGCUGGGGAGUCCACAUAGCCUUGGGGUAAACGUGUCCAGGUAUACUGACAGCCUUCAAAAGUAAAAGCCAUAAGUAGCUGUGUCUCUUGAUCAAUAGGUAUAGAAAAAAAUGCAUUACUUAAAUCAAUGACAGUGAAGCAAGUGGCAUCAUGUGGAAUGGCUGUAAUGAGGGAUGUCACAUC
This is a non-coding RNA of Pelobates cultripes (western spadefoot toad), 5603 nucleotides long. The record is from the annotation of a GenBank genome assembly. Lineage: Eukaryota; Metazoa; Chordata; Amphibia; Anura; Pelobatidae.